CAGUCAAGCACCUUUCUCAGGCUCCCACCAGCGUGCAGCCAAGGUGAGUUUUUCAAGAAAACAAAAAAUGCAAGUCGCACUGGCAAAUUAACAUUAUUCACCAUGAUGUUCAAACUGUGGAAACCCUGGACCAAUGCGAUCCGUAGUAUCACUGAUAAAUGCCAUACAUCCAUUAUCUUAACAGCCUAUCCCUUGAGGCCACAGGGUGUCUAGAGCCUAUCCCAGCUAGUAUUGGGUGAAGGUAGGGUUCACCCUGGACAGCUCACCAGUCUAUCACACGGUUAACCUAUUCAGUUAGCAGGCUGCAGACAACCUCUAAGUGGCCCCAAACCUAACCCUAGCACACGUGAAUCCAACACAUGGAAAAAUAAUUAAAACUGGGACAGGAAGGAUCUCAGAAGUGCCAGUUAUUGGGAGAAAUUUUGAAUGUAAACAAUACAAAUUAAGUUAGCAGCUUACCAGUCUAGAAGAUGAAGAGCAAGCUUGGAAUCCAGUUUGAAGCCGAUGCUAUUCCACAGUUGUCUCCAUCUCUGAAAGCUGCUCCAAUAUUUAUGUUGUGUUUAUUGUCAGAUUCUCUUUUAGACUCUUCAGAAAAGUCUGUUCCAUUUUUUUGGCCUGCUUUUUAGUGUAGGCAGUUGUUGCCAAUGCAGGAAAAUUUUCUCCCUGACUAUCCGUCAUUGCAAUUCAGUGUUGUGAACACGCAUCGGCAUUUACUUGUGGGCCCAAUCCCAAACCACCCCCGACAGACUCGCCCUACACACUCCUCCUCCGUUUGUGCAUCCCAGCGGAGGCUCUGCCAUAUUGAAGGCCGUCCCAAACCGCAAAGUGCAGAGGGAGGGUGGACUGUUCAGCCCUUAUAUAGCGAGUCUGCACCGGUGCAAACUUACAACGGGGUUUGCAUGUAGUGUGCUGGCAAAAAUGGGGGAGGAGGAAACAACACACAAAUGUAAGUUCUGUAUGUGUCCACCUUUGUCUCACUGACAAAAAUAAUAAUAAUAAUAAUAAUAAUAAUAAUAACAAAAGAUGUGGUUUGGAAAGAUCAAGUCUUACUCUGUGCUGACGUUUGAUUUAAUUGUGCAGGCACAUGUCAAAUCUUAAAAGGGUUCAAAGAAGUGUGGAAUUGAUUACAAUCGGAAGUCUAAUUUAGCUCCUGUCACUGUGAUGGUCCCUGGAUUUAGGAUUUCACUAGGACAAUGAAAAACGAGGCAGCCGGUGUGGCUCAGAAUUGCACAUGAUGCCCAUUUACUUAGAAAAUAAACUCUGCCUUGCACAGGACAGGUCUUUGUGUUGCUAUGGCAAUGAAUCUUUCAGUUCUACGGUGGAGUGAGGAGGUUGUCCCAUACUCGCCCAUCUUGUUUAUACCCUUGCAUUUCAAUUGAUGCGCACUUCAGAGCUGCGAGUGUAACUUCAUUACAAGUGACACUCGAUAGUGAAGGGCGAAUGUGUAAGGGGUGGAUUGAGAUUGGGCCAUGGACUUUCUAAACUGGCCUGUGAUUGGCUGACAGCCCCCGUCAAAUUUCAAUUCAAUUUUCAAAUUCAAUUCAAUACCCAAGGUAGUUGAAACAACCUAACAAAGUUGAAACAAACCCUUCUACUUUGAAAAGUUAGAAGCAAGAGCAGCGACCAUGUCUUGUGUUGUUGGUUGCACAAACCAUUUUGAUAAGAACAAAAUGCACAAGUUUUACUGAAGGCCAGCAGCACUGAAUACAAGUGACGAGUUAAGAAGCUAUGCUCCGACUCCUCCACUGUUUCACCUGCCAUAUUAGCUGGACCUGCAAGUUACCUGCAUCAAAUGAGCCAAAGCAGCUGUCCUAUACUACAGUUAAGGAUGAGAAUGCUGAGGAGGUAACAAUAACAUAUACCCGGCCAUACAGGUGCAGCUCACAGUCAGGAUGCCGUUGUUUUUCAGUUCACAAUGACCCAGACUUCAUACAUCUCUAUCCUCUUCUCUUUGUCACUUUGUUUGUCCACAACUCCAUUAGGAUUGCUGGAGGAGGCAGGAUUUAUGACCUACACUGCAGCCCAUCACCAGAGGGUGCUGUUCUCACAGAGGUUUCACCCAGCGAGGAGGCAGACGGCGUCAAUUCUAUACAGUCUGUGGUGAAAAUUAAGCACUGGGUGCUACAACACACGUACUGCGAAACUUACAGCUCCACAAGCACGCCUGCUUCAGAUGGGAUGUGUAUGUAAACUCUCCCACUCUUUGUUAGCAGCACUGUCAAUAC
This is a non-coding RNA of Xyrichtys novacula (pearly razorfish), 2225 nucleotides long. Lineage: Eukaryota; Metazoa; Chordata; Actinopteri; Labriformes; Labridae. The record is from the annotation of a GenBank genome assembly.